Molecule: long non-coding RNA, 2828 nt
Filed under: Sus scrofa (pig)
Lineage: Eukaryota; Metazoa; Chordata; Mammalia; Artiodactyla; Suidae
Description: lncRNA (ENSSSCG00000054622.1)
Source: RNAcentral
AUGUAUCGUUUUUACCCUAGAACUUGUUACUAUGUGACUUACAUACAUGUGUUAAUAAAUUGCACUACAAUCACCAUAAUCACACUCAGGCUUAAACACAAUUAUUAGCAUACAAAAGCACAUAUCCAUUUUAUCAUCUUCAUGUAGGCUCAUGGCACAGAAUUUAACAUGCUGCUCAAAAAUGUUCAGUGGAUAGAGUUCCCGUCAUGGUGCAGCGGAAAAUAUCUGACCAGGAACCAUGAGGUUGCAGGUUUGAUCCCUGGUCUUGCUCAGUGGGUAUAGGAUCUGGCAUUGCUGUGAGCUGUGGUGUAGUUUGCAGAUGCAGUUCAGAUCCUGUGUUGCUGUGGCUGUGGUGAAGGCCAGCAUCUAUAGCUCCUGUUCAACCCCUAGCCUGGGAACCUCCACACAAAAAAAAGUUCAGUGGCUGACAUUGCCACUGAGUAAUGUACAAAUUGCUUUGUUGGUCCCCCUGACAGACCUCAAAUGGUUUUCCUUCUUUUAUUUCUAGUAUUAUUCACAAUUACUUUCUUUCAAAUACCUCCACAACAACUUAAAGAGACUACUUGGUGGGCUCUAAAUAUGUCCUAUGCUUUUCUUUCUCUGUGAAUUUUUUUCACAUGGGAUUAAAUUCCUAAACAUAGAGCUAAAAUAUAUUUUAGGUACAAAUUCCAAAAAAAAAAAAAAGUAGGGCAGCUGAAUCAUUUUCUUUUCUCUUAAUGUAUCUAAUAAUUUGGUUCUAUGUUAAUUAAAUGCAUAUUAUAAUUUUUUGCAUUAAAAUUCAUGCUGUGUAACAAAUUACCACAAACUUUCUAGCAUAAAACAACACAAAUUUGUUUUCUCAUAGUUUCUAGUAGGUCAGAGCCUAGUACACCAUGAAUGAAUUCUCUGUCCAGAGUCUGAAAUCAAGGUGUUAGUUGGGGCUAUAGCUCCCAUCUGAGGCUCUGGGCCCUCCUCCAAGCUCACUGUGUUUGGGCAGAAUUCACUUCCUUGUGGUUGUAGGACUGAGGUCCCUAUUUUCCCAUUGACACUUUCUUUUCCUAGAUAUCUCCUGCAUAUAUUUUUUUUCUUUUGCCGUGUAGCUGCCAUAGCCCAUCCCAACAUGGAUGUUUGCUUUCCUCCAGGUCAGGUAAAGAUGUCUCUGUCUUUCCCUAAUGCAACCAUGUAGAGAAAACUAUGCUUUUAAAGACCUUGUGUGAUUAAAUUAGGCCCAUAUGGAUAAUCUCCCUAUAGUAAAAUCACCUGAUUUGGGACCUUAAUUACCUCUAUAAAAUCAAUUUAUAGCAAUACCUACUUAGCUUUUAAUUGAAGAACUAGGAGAAGGUGUGUAAACACCAGGAGCUGAGACUCUUUGGGAACCACUUGGAAUUUGUCUACCACACAUACCUACUUCUUUUUUAAGUACUAUUUGAUAUAUUUCAUUAUUAUAAGCCAAUAGUCCUUGAAAGGCAGUCAAGUCUAUUGACUAUUUGCUAGCAAAAGGACAGCAACAAAAAUUGUUGACUUUGGUUCCAUAUUGUCCCAAUUUCAAAUAUAAAUACUCAUACUAAAUCCUGUUAUUCAAGUCAAAUGUGGACAAAUAUGCUCCUUCUAACUUUUUGGGUAAGACCAUUACUAUGUGAUAUCAUUCAAAAGCAAUUUUCUUUGGGAGCCAUACAAGGAUCCUUAAUGACUGAAAUGGCCAACUGACAACACCUGCUUUUAAAUUUCUAGCCCAGCUUCUCUCUUUCAUCCUGCAUGGUACAGAACUCUGGAUCAGAAUUAAAAAUUCAAGUGGUUUCAUCUCUUUGUGGACAAUUUUGGACUCACAGGUAUAGCCUUCUAUGCAGACUUUGGACAGCCCUUUGCGUCUCAUUGAUAUGUAUGUUAGAUUUUGUUAAUGAAUAGCAAACACAAUUAUAUACCCUUAUCCUUAGUCAAACUUCUCCAGAAUAACAUCAGUUCAGAGCUUGUCAGAGAAACCAAUCCCAAAAUAAUUGCCCUGUGAAUUCCUGGAAUUCAGGGACCAGAUAUAAAACAUUUAAAUCUUCAAUGUCUUAGCCAACCCUAAUAGUAAAUAAAUGUUCAAUUGAAAUAUUAUAUUUGAGUAAGGCUUUCUAAGACUAUGCUUAUGUCCUUAAAGAAAUAGCUUUAUUUGGGAGUUCCCGUCAUUGCUCAGCGGAAACAAAUCUGACUAGGAACCAUGAGGUUGCAGGUUCAAUCCCUGGCAUCAUUCAGUGGGUUAAGGAUCUGGCAUUGCUGUGGCUGUGGCUCCAGCAGCUGUAGCUCCAAUUAGACCCCCUACCCUGGGAAACUCCAUAUGCCAUCGGUGCAGCCCUGAAAAGACAAAAGAAAAAAAAAUGAAAUGGCUUUAUUGGAAUUCCUGCUGUGAUGCAGUGGGUUAAGAUCCAAGCACAGCAGCUCAAGUCACUGUGGAGACACAGGUUCUAUCCCUAGCCCAGUGCAGUUGGUUAAAGGAUCCAGCAUUGCCACAGCUGUCUUGGCAUGUUGUAGUUGUGGCUCAGAUUCUGUCCCUGGCCCAGGGACUUCCAUAUGCCGCAAGUGUGGCCAUAAAAAAAUAAAUUAAAAAAAAAAAAAAAGAGUAAGUGCCUUGAAGUGAGAAUGAGUCCCAUGUUCCGGUCAUGGCUUAGCUGAAAUGAAUCGACUAGUAUCUACAAGGAUGCAGGUUCGAUCCCUGGCCUAGCUCAGUGGGUAAAGGAUCUGGGUAUUGCCAUGAACUGGGGUGUAGGUCACAGAUGUGGCUUGUAUCUGGCAUUACCAUGGCUGUGGUGUAGGGCAGAUGUUACAGCUCUGAUUUGACCCCUAGCCUAGGAACCUCUAUAUGCCACAGG